Gopherus flavomarginatus (Mexican gopher tortoise) is the source of this 3098-nucleotide long non-coding RNA. RefSeq lists it as uncharacterized. The transcript is spliced from 3 exons. NCBI's taxonomy places the organism in Eukaryota, Metazoa, Chordata, Testudines, Testudinidae. The record is from RefSeq and is a predicted model, not a curated record.
AUGAAGUCAAGUCACAUGGAAGGCAAGAUCAAGCCCAAAAUGCUGACUGUGAAUUCUCUCUCAGUGUGAAAUGUUGUCUCUUCUGACGUAACUAGCUGAGAGCACUGGGAUAUUAAAGUCAUGGCUAGGUAAAAAAUAGAUCCUGAAGAGCAUAAUAGAAAAAAUUGUAAUAGAUGGAAAGCUGUUUUUAAACUUUCCUAUAAAAUGAUAGAUAUAGUCCUACAAACCCUUACUCAGGUGAUUAGGCCCAUGGCUGCUAUUUGCCUAUAUUUUCUACCAUACCUAACGUAGCAGCUGAUCCUGAAUUUUCAUGUAAGCAAGGAUUGCGCUGGUGUGAAUGGCUUCUCAGGACUGUGUCCCAUGAGACCAAUCCACGUUAGAUUUUUUAAAUUUCCAUAAUCUUUAUUUCCAUUUAUUCAUAAAUGGCUGUCACUUUAUUUCAUAAAUGUACAAUAUAUGUUUUGAACUGCUGAUGCUGUGUUCAGCAGAGCUGGACAGGAUUAGUUGUGGGCUGUAAGAUUAAGUGGCACACCAGGCAGGUGAGGGUCUUGUUUUGAUUUUAAGCAUGUUCCUCCCCCUGCAAAAACACCAAUGGGAGGUGAUAUUCACGUAAUUUUGCAGGUUUGCUUUACCCAUAGAUUGUCAUAUUAACCCAGCAUAAUGCAGGUGCAAGAUCCCAUGCUGAUGGAAGGGCAAGGUGUCUGCAUAGCCAGUAGUGCCACAAAAAGUUGUGGUACUGAUUUGGUGGGGGCAUAACCAGGGUCCGACUGCAAGAUCCUGUGAGCUGUGUAAGGUGACUGAUUCUACCUUAAAUGUUACAAGAUAAAUUAAAUCCAAACAAAUUGACUUAGUGCAUUGUAUCAAGCAUCUAAAAGUCAGAGACAUCUGAGAUUUGUGGUUAUCUGCAUCCAUGCCAAGAUCGGCAAAUAUGGUUCAUGGAUAUAAAGCAGCUAUUCACAGAUUUGCAGGGCUCUAGAUAUAAAAUUUGGAUUUGCCUCCAUAUGUGAUCCACAAAUAUAGUAUGCAGAUAUAAAAUGGAUAUCUGCAGAUUUGCGGGGCUCUAGUUAUUUGCAGUGGGUUACAGUGGCCAAAUAUCACAGAUGGACUAUUUUCAGGAAGCAAAACCCUGUUUUUCUUAAACAUGUCUGUGUAAGUAAAUCUCUUUCUCAACCCUAGAUGCUGUUCAGUAUAAGCCAGGGGUUCUCAAACUGGGGGUCGGGACCCCUCGGGGGGGUCGUGAGGUUAUUACAUAGGGGGUUGCAAGCUGUCAGCCACCACCUCAAACCCUGCUUUUCCUCCAGCAUUUAUAAUGGUGUUAAAUGCAUUUUUAUAUAUUUUUCAUUUAUGGGGGGGGGGGUCACACUCAGAGGCUUGUUAUGUGAAAGGGGUCACCAGUGCAAAAGUUUGAGAACUACUGGUAUAAGUUGAAUUAAGGUUAUAGAAAAAACAUUAACAUUUUGAUCCUCCUGACAUUCUAAAAUAUAUGCUCUAGCUCAACCUGAAGUUAUGAGGUAGAUGAAGGAAUACUGGUUGGAACUGAGGGCAGGGGGAGGGGAGAGAAUUCUAUGGCAUGGCACGUCAGCAACAAAUUUAGAUUUCAAAAGAGCAGACUUUGAGAAACUAAAGGAACUAGUUAGUGAAGUCAAUGGGACUGAAGAGCUGAGGCAUUUAAAUGCUUGCAUCCCAAGCAAGGAGGAAAAGACUUUCAGGGAAGGGCUUCAGACCUAACUGGAUGAAUAACCACUUCAAAACAGAUAUUAGGCAUAAGCAGAGAGCCUAUGAGGAAUGGAAGAAGGCACUGAUCAGCAAAGAAAGCUAUAUCUUGGAGGUAAAAAUGUGUAGGUCUCAAGGGAGAAUUGCUAAAAGUCAAGCAGAAUUAGCCAUUGUGAAGGAAAUUAAAACAAAUAGAGGUUCUUUAGCCAUAUAAAUAAAAAGAGUCCAAGAAGAGAAAAAGAGAACAACAUAAAAAUUAAGAAACGAGUUAAACAGAAAUUAAAAGGAGUAGUCACAAAGGUGAAAUGCCUGCAAAACUGCCUGGCAACUACUUAAAAACACCAUAAUAGAGGCUCAAAUUAAAUGUAUACCCCCAAAUUAAAAAAAAAACUGUAAGAAGACUAAAAAAAAAUGCUACCAUACUAAACAGCAGAGAAAUAGAGCCCGUGUGAGACAAAAGGCAUCAUUUUAAAAAUUGGAAGUCAAAUACAAGUGAGGACAAUAGAAAGGAGCAUAAACUCUGGCAAGUCAUGUGAAAGUAUAGUAAGGCAGGCCAAGAAAGAAUUUGAAGACCAACUAGACAAGGAUACACAAACUAACAACAAAAGUAUUUGUAAGUACAGCAGACUCAGGAAGCCUGCCAAACAGUCAGGCCACUGGACAACUGAGCUGCUAAAGGAGCACCCAAGGAAAACAUGGCUGCCGCGGAGGAGCUAAACAGGAUGCAGAAGUUAUCCUGGCAAUUACUGGCAGUGACCACUAGAUUAAGUUAUCUCCCCUUGAUACAAGCAAAGUUCCUUGAGACACAUCUGGAGCUUCCUGCUGGUGUCCUGGGGCAUCCACAGCAAACCAGUCAGAAGACAGUCAAUGAGAGUGGAGCCGAGCCCAAAAACCAGAAGCGAACAAGCAAUUCACAAAGAGGGACAGUGCCAGUUUUAUUUCUCUCACCAAGAAACUAACGCAGCAAGAAUAGUAUCUGCUCAGAGAGAAACUCUCAGCUGUACUUUCUGCUUGAGCCAAGAGUUAGGGCAGAAAGGAGAAUGAUGCAAAGAAAGUGUUCCUUGGGAGAGAUGAUGUGUCUGUGCUUGUACCAAACCUCUGUAUUUGCAGCACAAUUGGUCAAAUGGGGAAAUCUUCAGCUGCACAACAGCACUUGGGACAAACAGUCCUGCUGAAAGCUGUGUGGCCCAGACAAGAGGUUCCAGGCUGAAAUUCCUUGUGACUUUCCCAGUUUAAAAAUAUUUAAUCACAAAGACCGAACUAGAAUCAGGGAAGAAGAGGAAUAAUUGAGUAUGAAGAAGUUAAAUAGUCUGAGUCCUAUUACGAAACCCUUGUUGGUUCAGCUUGGCACCUCCUCAAAGAAGAUAUAGCCAGGUGUGAGUUAU